Molecule: non-coding RNA, 23 nt
Filed under: Arabidopsis thaliana (thale cress)
Lineage: Eukaryota; Viridiplantae; Streptophyta; Magnoliopsida; Brassicales; Brassicaceae
Source: RNAcentral
UACCUACGUAUUACUAACUCUCG